Molecule: long non-coding RNA, 274 nt
Organism: Diceros bicornis minor
Lineage: Eukaryota; Metazoa; Chordata; Mammalia; Perissodactyla; Rhinocerotidae
Exons: 3
Source: RefSeq, a predicted model, not a curated record
CAUGCACUGCCCUGACUCCCAGAGUCCCCAGUGGGACUGAGCUCCAGCAAUCUAUCUACAGCGGGCUGUUUCCAAAGGACUUUGGAUUUUAUAGGAGGAACCAUCAAAGAUUGGGGACCUACUGGGAAGCCUAUAAUUUCCCAGUGUCAACUUUCUCAUUGGAUUCUAGCCAUCUGUACCUCAUGGUAGUAUCCAGAACACAGACAUGAAAGAUGUGCUUGCCUGGAGUGCUGAUUAGAGAUAUACAGCCUAUCUGGACUGGGGAAGAGCAGUC